RNAcentral lists this ribosomal RNA (471 nucleotides) under uncultured Pseudoalteromonas sp. RNAcentral describes it as "bacterial SSU rRNA". It matches the Rfam family "Bacterial small subunit ribosomal RNA", at positions 97 to 570 of the family's 1533-position model. Lineage: Bacteria; Pseudomonadati; Pseudomonadota; Gammaproteobacteria; Alteromonadales; Pseudoalteromonadaceae. The record is from RNAcentral.
GGCGGACGGGUGAGUAAUGCUUGGGAACAUGCCUUGAGGUGGGGGACAACCGUUGGAAACGACGGCUAAUACCGCAUGAUGUCUACGGACCAAAGGGGGCUUCGGCUCUCGCCUUUAGAUUGGCCCAAGUGGGAUUAGCUAGUUGGUGAGGUAAUGGCUCACUAAGGCGACGAUCCCUAGCUGGUUUGAGAGGAUGAUCAGCCACACUGGAACUGAGACACGGUCCAGACUCCUACGGGAGGCAGCAGUGGGGAAUAUUGCACAAUGGGCGCAAGCCUGAUGCAGCCAUGCCGCGUGUGUGAAGAAGGCCUUCGGGUUGUAAAGCACUUUCAGUCAGGAGGAAGGGUUAGUAGUUAAUACCUGCUAGCUGUGACGUUACUGACAGAAGAAGCACCGGCUAACUCCGUGCCAGCAGCCGCGGUAAUACGGAGGGUGCGAGCGUUAAUCGGAAUUACUGGGCGUAAAGCGUAC